UGCUAUUGGUGUCGACGCUGCCGUUUGUCGAAACAACUAUCGCGGGACAAAAACCCGUGUCUCUCGGCAAGGUGCCAUACCAAUUCUGUCUUCGUAGACGAGAGUAACUAAUAAUUUUUGGUGUUAUUAUGUGCAGCUACGUCACGUGAAUGUCACGCAUCGAAACCGUUAGUAGUAGAAAUCUGUUGUGCCAUUAUUUCUUCUGGUGUGCAGUAGAUUUGGUUUUGUCAGUAGAUGCGUGUAAUGUAUACACGAUGCAUUAUUAAACUCUCUUGACAUUUCUUUGUUUAAAACAAUGCUAGAUUUGGACUAUGUAUUCUAAUACGUUGUAAUUAUUAACCAAGACGUUCGAUUACGUUUACUGUGGUUAAAUUUCGCAGAAUAUUUUUACUACUUAAUUUUUUUAGCCGUAACUAAAGGUACGUUACAGCAAACCGACUUCUACAUGUAGUCGAACUUCGAGUUGUCUGGUUACUUCUUGGUUGCUUGUUCUCUGAAGGAAAGUAUUUCAAAUACUUCAUUUUCAAGGCGUUAAGAGAAACUUGUUUGUUUCAAUAAAAUAUUCCAGUUGUUAAGGCCCCAUUUAGGUCGUAGUCCGAACUGGAUUAUUUUCUUGAUAACGUGGCAUACGUUACUUCGUGAAAGUCGGCAGAGCGCUGACUGACAGACUUGCAUAAGAAAAGGGACUUAGAACCUUCGUGCAAAAUGGCACGUGCUCAGAGUUCAGACGUGGUGCCCGUUUGAAGGUAAAUACCAAUGAAGAAGAGGGAAAGGCGGUGGAUAGGGGAAUUCCCCUUUAGGUGUUGGAGAUCACUUCUGUUGCUGUGGACGUCAAUUGGUUGGGUGUGUCCUGUAAACACCAGCUAUCCCGUGUUUAAUGGACAGGGUUUCCUGGGAGAGAAGUUUGAUCAUCUGGUGGUGAACAAGUAUACCGGACUUGUGUAUGUGGGUGGAGUCAACAGAAUAUACCAACUUACUCCAAGACUGACUUUGAAGAGCACAGCCAUCAUGGGGCCCAAGGAGGACAAUCCCGACUGCCCAGUAACCCGAUUAUGUCCCCAAGUAGAUAAAAAAGCCACGGACUACUACAACAAAGCUCUUAUUAUCGACUAUGAACAAAGUAGGUUAAUAGCUUGUGGAAGCCUUUUUCAAGGUGUGUGCACAGUCCACGAUUUGGAAAAUGUAUCAAGUUACCAGACUCCAGCCAACGAGUCCGUAGUGGCUAACAAUGCCACUGCCUCAACGGUGGCUUUUAUAGCUAAGGGUCCAACUGAUACCCUUCGGAAAAUGACUCAUGUCCUUUACGUCGGUGUGACUUACACUGGAAAUGGACCUUAUCGGUCAGAUGUCCCAAUGGUCAGCAGUCGUAGUCUGGACCCGGAAACUAUGUUUACUAUUGCCGAGUCAAAAGUGACCACUGGAACUAAGGUCUCUGUGAACAGUCUCGCGCGCGCCAUUUAUCCAAUCACCUAUGUGUAUGGGUUUGAGAAUAAAGGUUUCUCAUAUUUUGUGACUGUGCAGAAGAAGAAUACGGACAGACCUCUUCCGUUUCUGUCCAAGCUUGUUCGGAUCUGCCAGGACGACCCACACUAUUAUUCCUACACCGAAAUCCCACUGGUUUGUCGAUCUAACGACGGAACAGACUACAACCUAGCCCAGGCUGCUUUCGUAGGCCGGCCCGGCUCCGACCUAGCUGUGUCACUGGGAGUCACCGCCCAAGAUAAGGUGCUUUUUGCGGUGUUCGCAAAGUCCAAAGAUGAAGCCGACGUCUAUAACAAGCCCUCCAUGAAUUCAGCUCUCUGCGUCUACGCUUUGUCUGCUAUCCACCGUAAGUUCAUUCAGAACAUCCAGAAUUGUUUCAACGGUGUGGGAGAUAGAGGGUUGGAUUUUAUAAACCCUAGCCAAUCUUGUCAUCAUACACAAGUACAAAUCAACGAUGAUUUUUGCGGAAUGGAUGUGAACACACCACUAGGUGGUGUCUUGCCUAUAGAAGGCGUCCCUGUUUUAACUUAUUCAGGAGUUCUACUAACUGCUGUAGCAGCGACCUCUACCCAUGACUACACAGUGGCCUUCCUUGGGACAUCUACGGGUCAUCUGAAGAAAGCUGUAGUAGAUUCUGUAACUAGUGCUUUUGAAUACUCCGACUCUAUAAUCGACGAAGGAUCCCCUGUGAACCAGGAUUUGACCUUUGACCAGAACCGACACAAUCUGUACGUCAUGACAGAGAGAAAGCUUUCCAUGGUGAAGGUACAAGAUUGUAAGAUGUACAAUAAUUGCCGAACAUGUCUUGGUGCCCAGGAUCCUUACUGUGGAUGGUGCUCUUUAGAGAACAAAUGUAGUUUACGAAGUGAUUGUGCCCAAGCUGCAGAAGACCCACUUUAUUGGCUGUCCUACAAAAGUGGCAAAUGUACAACUAUAACCAAUGUUAACCCUCCACAGAUUCAGAGGACAACAGCUCGUAUACUCACACUAGUCAUAGAUAACUUACCUGUGCUAGAGGGACAGUUCUUGUGUGCCUUCACAGCAUAUGGGAAAACAUUAGUCUCCAAUGCAACUCGUUCAUCUAAUGGGGUGAUAUGUGCUACACCACAUACUGACUCACUGCCAUCUAUUCCUUUAGGUGAACAUCACUUUACUGCUAAGCUAUCUGUAAGAAUGAAGACUGGUCCAGACUUCGUAGCCACAAACUUCACUUUCUACGACUGCAGUACAUAUAGUUCAUGCACCAAGUGUGUGUCCAGUCGGUUUCCUUGUGACUGGUGUGUUGGAGGACACCGAUGUACUCAUGACACAGGCGAGAACUGUCGCAAUGACAUCCUGGUCACAGGAGUAGCAAGUAUUGGUCCUAGCAUCCGGUCAGGUCCUGGAUUUUGUCCUAUGAUUAAUAUUACUGCAGGUAGCUCUACUGAAAUCCUUGUACCCAUGGGCAUUGAAAAAGCUAUUCAAGCACGAGUGGAGAACACACAGCCAUUUCUUCCAUCUACAAGAUUUGUGUGUCAAUUUAAUAUUGAAGGAAGAGUGAGACAAGUCACAGCACAGCUCUUGUCAGACACCAUCUAUUGCAGUGAGUUAAAUUUCACUUACAGCACUCAAGCUCCCAAUGUAUCUGCUACUUUUGCUGUCAUUUGGGAGGGCAACAAACCUUUAGAUAACCCAGAAAACAUGCAUGUAUUGGUAUACCGAUGUCAAGGAAUGGCUACCAACUGUGGAAUGUGUUUGGAGCUUCCAGAGAAAUAUCGUUGUGGUUGGUGUCAAACUUCUAGAUCCUGUCAGGUAGAAGAGCAGUGUAAGGAAGGGAAGAUCUCUUGGCUGGACAAAUAUCAGUCUUGUCCCAAUCCACAAAUUAUAUCAAUCUCACCCACUUCUGGGCCAAUAGAGGGUGGUACCAACAUUACAAUCAAAGGUAUUAACCUAGGGAGAGUCUUUGAAGACAUAGCUAAUGGUGUAACAGUCAAAGUGUUUGACAACAAGCAUGGCAGAAUUGACAUUCCUUGCAAGCCUUACCAAAAACUCUAUGUGAAAACCAGGAGGAUUGUCUGCGAAGUGGGAAGCCCUCAAGAUAAAACCUCUCACACUUUAAGUACAGCAUCCAUCUUAGGUCCUGUAGUUGUGAAAAUUCAAAAUGAUCACACAGCUACAUCUGCAAAUAACUAUGAAUUUGUUAAUCCAGAAAUUAAGUCUAUCAACCCUAGUAAAGGACCAAAAUCAGGUGGAACUCUACUGAAAGUCUGGGGAAUCCACAUGAAUGCAGGUAGCAAUGCUGAAGCCACUGUUGGCCCUCUUAAAUGUGAAAUCAUACAAAGGGAAAAAAACUUAAUUCACUGCAUCACCCCAGCAUCUGAUAAGAUUGGACAGAAGAAAGUCAGGGUAAAAUUUGAUAAAGGAUUGCGUAGCUUUGAUGGUUACCAGUUUUUAUAUGUGGAGGAUCCUACAGUAAGUAGUGUGGAGACGAGAUCUACUGGCUAUAAAGGUCCCCGAGGUAUUCCCAGUGGAGGGAUAACCAUUAGGGCAUAUGGAAAUAACCUCAAUACUGUUCGGGAACCCCAAAUUUAUGUGGAAAUCAAUGGUCAUCUGUUUACGGGUAAAUGUGUUGCAUUUUCAGCAGAAAGUAUCAGUUGUAAAAGUCCAGCUGUGCCUAGUGACCAGUUACAUUUCAAUGGAGAAGAACCACUUGAAUUUCACUACGGUUUCUUGAUGGACAAUGUGGAAUCUCUAAAAAAUUUGAGUUAUCGUCCAAGUUUUGCUAAAUUCCAGAUGUAUCCUGUUCCAGUGUACCAUAAGUUUUCAGAGAAAAAUAAUGUCAAAUUUUAUAAGAGUGAUUACUUAACAAUUAAUGGUCAACAUUUAGACAGAGCUUCGCAAGACACAGAUGUAAAAGUCCGCAUUGGCACAAGUUUUUGUAAUGUGACAUCUCUUUCUCGAUCUCAAUUAACUUGCCGUCCUCCAACUUCUCAACCUCCAGAACGUGAUUCUGAUGGAAAUCCUAAUCCCCACAGUAUUCCUCAAGUUGUAGUUGAAGUAGGAGAUAAUUUGAAAUACACAAUUGGAUGGCUAAGUUACGAACCUCCUUCAUCCCAAGAUAAUUCCAUCUCCCAGAAGCUUAUUAUUGGUGCAUUUGUUGGUGGAUCUGCCUUCCUAUUGGUUGUCAUUAUAGCAGUCAUUUUGUACAGACGCAAGUCUAUGGAGAGCAGUCGUGUUCUCAAAAGCAUGCAGGAGCAGAUGGAUGUGUUAGAGUUACGAGUGGCUAGUGAGUGUAAAGAAGCUUUUGCUGAGCUGCAGACAGAAAUGACUGAUCUAACAAGUGACAUGACUGCAGGAGGAAUCCCCUUUCUUGAUUAUCGUACUUAUUCUAUGAAAGUUCUCUUCCCUAAUUCUGAGGAUCAUCCAGUUCUUAGAGAUAUGAUAGUUGAUCCUGUGAAGAAAGCAUUUAUUGAAAAAGGGCUUCGUCAGUUUGGACAGCUUGUAAUGAACAAAACAUUCCUUCUGUUGUUCAUUCGAAUUCUUGAAUCCAAUCGUUACUUCUCCAUGAAAGACAGAGUAAAUGUUGCUUCACUGAUUAUGGUAACUCUUCAAGGAAAAAUGGAAUACAGUACUGACAUUCUUAAGACCUUGUUAGCAGAAUUAAUUGAAAAGUGCAUUGAUGGAAAGAGUCACCCUAAGCUACUGCUGAGAAGAACCGAGUCUGUGGCUGAGAAAAUGCUGUCUUCAUGGUUCACCUUCCUUCUCUUCAAGUUCCUUAGGGAAUGUGCUGGUGAACCAUUAUUUGUGUUGUACAGAGCUAUAAAACAGCAAGUAGAUAAAGGACCAGUUGAUGCUAUCACGAAUGAGGCUCGCUAUUCUCUUUCAGAAGAAAAACUGAUUAGACAAUCCAUCGAGUAUAAGUGCAUUACUGUGUUUGUCUCGAUGUCAUCACAAACAGGCUAUGUAACAGGGCUGGAACCUCCAGGGGAAAACACAGAGAUGGCAGUGAAAGUUUUAGACUGUGAUACCAUUUCCCAAGUAAAAGAAAAGGUGCUAUUUACAAAAAUACUCCAUUUUCUCAAAGGCCUGUGAAAGAGGAUCUUGAUCUUGAAUGGAGAACUGGUACACAUGGUAGGCUCACUUUGUUUGAUGAGGACUCCACUUCAAGAGUAGAAGGUGAAUGGAGGCGUUUUAACACCCUUAGUCAUUACAAGGUACCAGAUAGUGCCCUCUUAACCCUGGUUCCAAAACAGUCAUCUAUGUAUAACAUUUCAAUCAUGUCAGAGAAAAAUGAAAAAUUGCAUAAAUAUGAGACUCUAAACUUUCCAUUAAAGAUGAGCCCUCCUCUAAGUCGUGCUACAUCACCACUCAAUCAUGAUGUAGAGGCUAAUUAUAGACCAUGGCAUUUGGUAAAACACCAUGAUACUGAACAAAAAGAAGGAGAGAGAGG
Molecule: unclassified non-coding RNA, 5911 nt
Filed under: Limulus polyphemus (Atlantic horseshoe crab)
Lineage: Eukaryota; Metazoa; Arthropoda; Merostomata; Xiphosura; Limulidae
Description: plexin-A2-like, transcript variant X6
Source: RNAcentral